RNAcentral lists this ribosomal RNA (492 nucleotides) under uncultured bacterium. RNAcentral's name for it is "partial 16S ribosomal RNA". It matches the Rfam family "Bacterial small subunit ribosomal RNA", at positions 29 to 507 of the family's 1533-position model. The record is from RNAcentral.
AGUGAACGCUGGCGGUAGGCCUAACACAUGCAAGUCGAACGGCAGCACAGUAAGCGCUUGCUCUUACGGGUGGCGAGUGGCGGACGGGUGAGGAAUACAUCGGAAUCUACUUUUUCGUGGGGGAUAACGUAGGGAAACUUACGCUAAUACCGCAUACGACCUACGGGUGAAAGCAGUGGAUCUUCGGACCUUGCGCGAUUGAAUGAGCCGACGUCGGAUUAGCUAGUUGGCGGGGUAAAGGCCCACCAAGGCGACGAUCCGUAGCUGGUCUGAGGGGAUGAUCAGCCACACUGGAACUGAGACACGGUCCAGACUCCUACGGGAGGCAGCAGUGGGGAAUAUUGGACAAUGGGCGCAAGCCUGAUCCAGCCAUACCGCGUGGGUGAAGAAGGCCUUCGGGUUGUAAAGCCCUUUUGUUGGGAAAGAAAAGCAGCAGGUUAAUACCCCGCUGUUCUGACGGUACCCAAAGAAUAAGCACCGGCUAACUUCGUG